AAGUCACUUAAGCCCAACUUGGACAUCCACGGUCCAGCUCCAGCUCCAGCCCCACCUUCCAGAAACUGCUCGUACGAUCUCAAGAACGCCGCCUCCCCGGUUCCCGCACCCCCGUCGCCGCGCCGGUAGUCUGCCCGUCGCCGUCUCCUCCUCCAGAUCUGACCCGCCUGUCAACGUAGUCUGCCGGGAGUCCAUCACUGUGCCGGGGCGUUACUCCUCACCGCCGCUGUGUUGCCUCUUCUGCGGGGUUGAGGUGAAGGCGAAGGUGAAGCAGCAGGAUGGGUCGGAAGGCCGGUGCUUUGUACAUAAACCCAAAGAAGUUUGGUGCUAUGGCGAAGCCCUGCAUGCCGGAAAUGGUUGCCUUCCUCAACUGCCUAGCCUUAAACAAACAGAACGAUGACAAGUGCAUCAAGCAGAAAGAUCUUUUGGUUGCAUGCUCUCAGGCUCAGAAUGGGAGGCCAAAGAACGCAGCCAAGACCAUCAAUUACCAUCUCCAGCGACUUGGGCGAGGCAAGUUCCUCUAGGUGCUGUGUGAGAUCAUUUCUUCAUCCAGCUUUAUGCCUUGUACCGAAGUAGAAUUGCUGAAAUGGGGCAUUAAUGUGUUUGCUUAGAUUGGACAAUGAUCAGCAAAUAAUUUUAUGUCAAACAGUAAUGUAUGAGCAGUAUAUUGAUACUGUUUUCUUCUCAUCCUAUGAAGGCACAUUACAGUUACGUUUUCCAUCUAUACUGC
This 730-nucleotide unclassified non-coding RNA is filed under the name Zea mays. RNAcentral's name for it is "misc RNA Zm00001eb012520". Lineage: Eukaryota; Viridiplantae; Streptophyta; Magnoliopsida; Poales; Poaceae. The record is from RNAcentral.